This 442-nucleotide long non-coding RNA is filed under the name Equus asinus (donkey). RNAcentral describes it as "lncRNA (ENSEASG00005035712.1)". Lineage: Eukaryota; Metazoa; Chordata; Mammalia; Perissodactyla; Equidae. The record is from RNAcentral.
UUCAAGGUGAGUGGUCCAGGUGAGGACAGUUCAGCUCCACACAGUCACUCAAAGACACAGGUUUCUUUCAUCAGGUUCCUCCACACCCUGGGGCUUGUCUUCAUCUGCAUGGUCAAGCCGAAUCUCAGCCACACAAGAACGGGAAGGAGUGGAUGUCCAGAACAAGUAAUCCUUUCUCAUAACCGCCAGUACAUAGUUGUGUAUUCCAGUUGUGAUGUGUCUCCGGUUGUGGCAUGUGGGAUGCCGCCUCAACAUGGCCCGACAAGUGGUGCCAUGUCCGCACCCAGGAUUCGAACUGGUGAAACUCUGGGCCGCUGAAGUGGAGUGCGCGAACCCAACAACUCGGCCAUGGAGCUGGCCCCUGGAAUAUUUUUAAAGAUGGUAUAAUUUUGAAAUAUUUUGAAGGGUGGUACCCUGUGCCAAUUAGUUUUGCAAUUUGCAG